UUGGCUAGAUUUGUUUUAGCCCGGGUGAUAAAGUUUGGGUAUGAUCAUGUUGGCUUCGGUCGGUGUGGUUCUCUGCCCAAGCGUAUUACCAUGAGCAAAUCAAAAUGCUCAAAGUAGGCCUUCUUGCCUGAAUGUGUUAGCAUGGAAUAAUGAAAUAGGACCCUAGUCUUGUUUUGUUGGUAUACUUGACCUUGGGAAAUGAUGAAUAGGAACGGUUGGGGCCAUUUGUAUUUGGUCGCUCGAGGUGAAAUUCUUGGAUUGACCGAAGACAAACAACUGCGAAAGCAUUUGACCUAGGACGUUUCCAUUGAUCCAGGGACUAAAGUUGAGGGAUCGAAGACGAUUAGAUACCGUCAUAGUCUUAACCACAAACUAUGCCGACUAGCGAUUGGAUCCUCUCCACUGGCAGGAUUCAGCAGCUUAGCGAAAGUAAAGUUUUUGGGUUCUGGGGGGAGUAUGGGACGCAAGGCUGAAACUUAAAGGAAUUGACGGAAGGGCACCUCCAGGAGUGGAGCGUGCGGCUUAAUUUGACUCAACACGGGGAAACUCACCAGGUCCAGACAUAAUAAGGAUUGACAGAUUGAAAGCUCUUUCUAGAUUUUAUGGGUGGUGGUGCAUGGCCGUUCUUAGUUCGUGGAGUGAUUUGUCUGGUUAAUUCCGAUAACGAACGAGACCUUAUUCUGCUAAUUAGCUGGGCCAACUUUUUAGUUGGUAGUUUCUAGAUUUCGGUCUAGCCAGCUUCUUAGAGAGACUACGGA
This 758-nucleotide ribosomal RNA is filed under the name uncultured eukaryote. Its description in RNAcentral is "SSU rRNA". It matches the Rfam family "Eukaryotic small subunit ribosomal RNA", at positions 667 to 1426 of the family's 1831-position model. The record is from RNAcentral.